GAUGAAGAACGUAGCGAAAUGCGAUAAGUAAUGUGAAUUGCAGAAUUCAGUGAAUCAUCGAAUCUUUGAACGCACAUUGCGCCCGCCAGUAUUCUGGCGGGCAUGCCUGUUCGAGCGUCAUUUCAACCAUCAAGCCCCCGGGCUUGUGUUGGGGACCUGCGGCUGCCGCAGGCCCUGAAAAGCAGUGGCGGGCUCGCUGUCACACCGAGCGUAGUAGAUUUUAUCUCGCUCAGGGCGUGCUGUGGGUUCCGGCCGUUAAACCACCCUUUUAACCCAAGGUUGACCUCGGAUCAGGUAGGAAGACCCGCUGAACUUAAGCAUAUCAAUAAGCGGAGGA
RNAcentral lists this unclassified non-coding RNA (337 nucleotides) under soil metagenome. RNAcentral describes it as "partial contains 5.8S ribosomal RNA, internal transcribed spacer 2, and large subunit ribosomal RNA". The stretch from base 1 to 120 matches the Rfam family "5.8S ribosomal RNA", at positions 35 to 154 of the family's 154-position model. The record is from RNAcentral.